GCUGAGCAUGUUGGCACACACCUGUAAUCCCAGCGACUUGAGAAGCUGAGGCAGGGGGAUCACAAAUUUGAGGUCAGCCUCAACAACUUAGUGAGACCCUGUCUCAA
RNAcentral lists this small RNA (107 nucleotides) under Marmota monax (woodchuck). Lineage: Eukaryota; Metazoa; Chordata; Mammalia; Rodentia; Sciuridae. The record is from RNAcentral.